UACGGAGGGUGCAAGCGUUAUCCGGAUUUAUUGGGUUUAAAGGGUCCGCAGGCGGACUUGUAAGUCAGUGGUGAAAGCCUUCAGCUUAACUGGAGAAUUGCCAUUGAUACUGCUAGUCUUGAGUUCGGUUGAAGUGGGCGGAAUAUGUAGUGUAGCGGUGAAAUGCAUAGAUAUUACAUAGAACACCUAUUGCGAAGGCAGCUCACUAAGCCGAUACUGACGCUCAGGGACGAAAGCGUGGGGAGCGACCAGG
Molecule: ribosomal RNA, 253 nt
Filed under: uncultured bacterium
Lineage: Bacteria
Description: partial 16S ribosomal RNA
Rfam family: Bacterial small subunit ribosomal RNA
Source: RNAcentral